RNAcentral lists this ribosomal RNA (253 nucleotides) under uncultured bacterium. RNAcentral's name for it is "partial 16S ribosomal RNA". It matches the Rfam family "Bacterial small subunit ribosomal RNA", at positions 524 to 776 of the family's 1533-position model. The record is from RNAcentral.
UACAGAGGGUGCAAGCGUUUUUCGGAAUUACUGGGCGUAAAGGGCGCGUAGGCGGUUUAGUAAGUCAGAUGUGAAAGCCCGGGGCUCAACUCCGGAAUUGCAUUUGAAACUGCUAGGCUAGAGUGCAGUAGAGGAUGGCGGAAUACCCAGUGGAGAGGUGAAAUUCGUAGAUAUUGGGUGGAACACCGGUGGCGAAGGCGGCCAUCUGGGCUGUAACUGACGCUGAGGCGCGAAAGCGUGGGGAGCAAACAGG